GGACGAACGCUGGCGGCGUGGAUUAGGCAUGCAAGUCGGACGGUAGGGCUUUAUCGUAAGAUAGAGUUUGAGAGUGGCGAACGGGUGAGUAACACGUAGGAAUCUACCCUUAAGACGGGGGACAACCCAGGGAAACUUGGGCUAAUACCGGAUGAGAGUGCGAGAGAUUGCAUUUAAAAGGAUGGCGAAAGUUGUCGCUUAGGGAUGAGCCUGCGGUCUAUUAGUUAGUUGGUGAGGUAAGAGCUCACCAAGGCGAUGAUAGAUAGGCGGCCUUAACGGGUGGUCGCCCACACUGGGAUUGAGAUACGGCCCAGACUCCUACGGGAGGCAGCAGUCGAGAAUAGUCUACAAUGGCCGGAAGGCUGAUAGUGCGACGCCGCGUGAACGAUGAAUCCCUUCGGGGUGUAAAGUUCUUUUAUAUGUGAGCAGUGCUUCUUAUAUUAACAGUAUGGGGAGAGAGAUAUUAGCGUAUGAAUAAGCAACGGCUAACUCCGUG
This 496-nucleotide ribosomal RNA is filed under the name uncultured bacterium. Its description in RNAcentral is "bacterial SSU rRNA". It matches the Rfam family "Bacterial small subunit ribosomal RNA", at positions 27 to 507 of the family's 1533-position model. The record is from RNAcentral.